RNAcentral lists this ribosomal RNA (253 nucleotides) under uncultured bacterium. RNAcentral describes it as "partial 16S ribosomal RNA". It matches the Rfam family "Archaeal small subunit ribosomal RNA", at positions 474 to 727 of the family's 1478-position model. The record is from RNAcentral.
UACCCGCAGCACAAGUGGUGGUCAUUAUUAUUGGGCCUAAAGCGUCCGUAGCUGGCGUGUUAGAUGCCUGGGUAAAUCGAUGCGCUUAACGCAUCGAAUUCCGGGUAGACCGGCACGCUCGAGACCGGGAGAGGUAUGGGGUACUCGGGGGGUAGGGGUAAAAUCCUGUAAUCCUCCGGGGACGACCAGUGGCGAAGGCGCCAUACUAGAACGGCUCUGACAGUGAGGGACGAAGCCCUGGGGCGCAAACCGG